This 253-nucleotide ribosomal RNA is filed under the name uncultured prokaryote. RNAcentral's name for it is "partial 16S ribosomal RNA". It matches the Rfam family "Bacterial small subunit ribosomal RNA", at positions 524 to 776 of the family's 1533-position model. The record is from RNAcentral.
UACGUAGGUGGCAAGCGUUGUCCGGAUUUACUGGGCGUAAAGGGCGUGCAGGCGGUCUGUUAAGUGCAGGGUGAAAGCUCCCGGCUCAACUGGGAGAGGUCCUUGCAUACUGGCGGACUUGAGGGGGGUAGAGGAAAGUGGAAUUCCCGGUGUAGUGGUGAUAUGCGUAGAUGUCGGGAGGAACACCUGUGGCGAAAGCGGCUCACUGGACCACAACUGACGCUGAGGCGCGAAAGCUAGGGGAGCAAACAGG